AUUCGAGCAAUCGAAGAUAUAUGGGAUAACAAGUGAUACAGAGAAUAUUAGCUUGUUCCCUGCAUAAAAAUGACACACAAAUUCAUAAAUUCUUUUAUACAUUUUU
Small nuclear RNA from Sorex fumeus (smoky shrew), 106 nucleotides. The record is from RefSeq and is a predicted model, not a curated record. Lineage: Eukaryota; Metazoa; Chordata; Mammalia; Eulipotyphla; Soricidae.